UGCCUGAUGGGCAAUUGGCUAGCGUUCUGGUCUUUGGUACCAGAGGCUUCAAGUUCGAAUCCUGAUUUUGGCAU
This is a non-coding RNA of Caerostris darwini, 74 nucleotides long. The record is from the annotation of a GenBank genome assembly. NCBI's taxonomy places the organism in Eukaryota, Metazoa, Arthropoda, Arachnida, Araneae, Araneidae.